This is a long non-coding RNA of Panicum virgatum (switchgrass), 403 nucleotides long. RefSeq lists it as uncharacterized. The record is from RefSeq and is a predicted model, not a curated record. The transcript has 2 exons. NCBI's taxonomy places the organism in Eukaryota, Viridiplantae, Streptophyta, Magnoliopsida, Poales, Poaceae.
UGAUAAUAAAGCCAUGUAAUCUGUCUAUAAUAUGGUACUUGAAUGUUGUAAGGUUAUUAGCAAUAUUUUUACAUGUCUGAUUUAUUUAAACUUAUGUGUUUCUUUUCUUAGGUGAUUGCAGGCAUGGAAAGAGUAUUAUAUUGGGUUUGGAGUACCAACGAUUGAAUUCUUAAAUCGAUGUGUGCACGGAUGGAUGCAGAAGCAACGAAUUUCAAGAAUACUAGAUAUUUAUAUUUACAUUUUGCUUUCUAGUAGAGUAGAGUAGACUUGUACUUUUCAUUACUAUGUGUAUUUGCUCUUUAGAAUUAUAUAAUUAUGUAUAGCGAACUGUCAUGUGAUGUAAGAAAGUACUACAAUUGAAACUUUCCUACAAUCAAUGUGAGGUCCUAUGGUUUUUGAAAUA